UUUAAACAUGAGUCCAAGAUGUCUGCGCCCUUGUUGUCAACAUCAAAUAGCGAAGAAGAGGAAAUUACGGCCAGACCUCCUUCAAAACAUCGUAAAAAAGGAUUUUAAAUGCAUCUCACGUCCAUUAAUAAAGAUUAAACAAAGUAUUUUACACGCACAUACAGGAAAUAGUGUCAAACGGUGGCUUGGUUUGCAGGGUAAGAAUCAGAUAAUAGCAGAAACAUACAGACAUUGUCUAGAAAUCGAGUUUGAAAAUGUUCCCGAAGAUGCUGGAUUUCACUCCACUUGCUACAGGCGUUUCAUUGAUAAAAAGCGCUUGGAUGCGGCAGAGAAAGUUCUGAAGUUCAAGAUGCUACACCAGGUUCUUGACAAAGUCUACUGCAACAGUUACAGGUUCCUCAGAAGAACAAAAUGAGCCAACCUUCGAUGCCAGCUACAAGAUCUUCUGUGAGAGGAACAUCCACCAUAGAAUAAUUGUAAACCAAGAGGUGCUGACAUUGAUGCAUCUAAGAAGGAUCUUUUUAUAUUUUGUGAAAAAAUAAAAAAACAUGAAGAUCUCGAUGAUUCAACUACAGGCAGGAUACUGUACAAUCUGAUUUCCUGGAUUAUUGGUGCAACUGAGGAACCAACACUGGCCCAUUAUGUUGAUAUUCCAAAUGAUUUGAACCUAAAAGUGAUAUCUGUUUGUCAGGACAUUGUGUAUCUCGCACCUAAGGACUGGAGGCAGAUUGGAAGAUGUUCCUGUAUGUCUGCAAGACUUUCUUGUACUGAUUUUUGUCAGUGCCAAAAUUGUGCAAAUGUUUCCCAGGAAACAGAGGAAAGAACUACAUGUGGUAGGGAUGAUACUGAUGAGUAAAGACAUGCUGUGCAUUAUUUUAGACUGAUUUUGAGCUGUAAUGAAUCUUUUGUAGAAUUGUUCAUUUUUAGCAUUAUUCAUAAUUAAGGGGGGUGUGGUCACAUUUUGAGUCAUUUCAGCCAACCUGGGCCAAAGUGUGCUGCUUCUUUAUAUUUGUGUGAUUACACAGUGCCUAUACUGAAAAUUUUGAUGUAUAAUACAUCACAGUUUUGCUAAAUUUACAAUGUGUAUAUUUAAUUUUGCUUGGUGGCAAUCCGUUAAUUUGAAUUGUAUUUUCUACAAAUUUGCCAUAUUUCAUGGUCUACAUUCACACUUCAGUAUAUAAUGCACCAGUACCUGUCUCAAAUGUUUAGGUACAUGUAUAAAGGUCAGUUUGAGAGAGAUUUUGUGUUGCUAAAAUGAAUAUAAAUAAAGUUAUAAGCAAAACUAGCAGCAUAAGAUUUUCGUUUUUUAAAUUCACAAUUAUACACAUUUAUGGAUUGUAACAAAAAACUGCAGGAUAUUUUGUGGAGAACUUUUAACAUAAAGUCCAUAAGGGUGUUGUCUAUGCAAAAAUGCAUUUAAAAAGUAGUCACUUUUUCUAGAGUUCACUUUAUGGCUAAAUAUAACUAAAUAUGAGGUAAAAGUGUA
This is a long non-coding RNA of Megalobrama amblycephala (Wuchang bream), 1486 nucleotides long. RefSeq lists it as uncharacterized. The record is from RefSeq and is a predicted model, not a curated record. NCBI's taxonomy places the organism in Eukaryota, Metazoa, Chordata, Actinopteri, Cypriniformes, Xenocyprididae. The transcript is spliced from 3 exons.